AUUGAACGCUGGCGGCAUGCCUUACACAUGCAAGUCGAACGGCAGCACGGGAGCAAUCCUGGUGGCGAGUGGCGAACGGGUGAGUAAAGUAUCGGAACGUGCCCAGUCGUGGGGGAUAACGUAGCGAAAGUUACGCUAAUACCGCAUACGAUCAAUGGAUGAAAGCGGGGGAUCGCAAGACCUCGCGCGAUUGGAGCGGCCGAUAUCAGAUUAGGUAGUUGGUGGGGUAAAGGCUCACCAAGCCGACGAUCUGUAGCUGGUCUGAGAGGACGACCAGCCACAUUGGGACUGAGACACGGCCCAGACUCCUACGGGAGGCAGCAGUGGGGAAUUUUGGACAAUGGGCGAAAGCCUGAUCCAGCCAUGCCGCGUGCAGGAUGAAGGCCUUCGGGUUGUAAACUGCUUUUGUACGGAACGAAAAGGUUUGGCCUAAUAAGCUGAGCUCAUGACGGUACCGUAAGAAUAAGCACCGGCUAACUACGUGCCAGCCGCCGCAGUAA
Molecule: ribosomal RNA, 500 nt
Filed under: uncultured bacterium
Lineage: Bacteria
Description: partial 16S ribosomal RNA
Rfam family: Bacterial small subunit ribosomal RNA
Source: RNAcentral